This 371-nucleotide ribosomal RNA is filed under the name uncultured organism. Its description in RNAcentral is "bacterial SSU rRNA". It matches the Rfam family "Bacterial small subunit ribosomal RNA", at positions 526 to 896 of the family's 1533-position model. The record is from RNAcentral.
CGAAGGGGGCUAGCGUUGUUCGGAAUUACUGGGCGUAAAGGGCGCGUAGGCGGCCGUUUAAGUUAGAUGUGAAAGUCCUGGGCUCAACCUGGGGACUGCAUUUAAUACUGGAUGGCUUGAAUUCGGGAGAGGAUAGCGGAAUUCCCAGUGUAGAGGUGAAAUUCGUAGAUAUUGGGAAGAGCACCGGUGGCGAAGGCGGCUAUCUGGACCGACAUUGACGCUGAGGCGCGAAAGCGUGGGGAGCAAACAGGAUUAGAUACCCUGGUAGUCCACGCCGUAAACGAUGAGUGCUAGACGUUGGGAAGCUUAGCUUUUCAGUGUCGCAGCUAACGCAUUAAGCACUCCGCCUGGGGAGUACGGUCGCAAGAUUA